UACGUAGGUCCCGAGCGUUGUCCGGAUUUAUUGGGCGUAAAGCGAGCGCAGGUGGUUGUAUAAGUCUGAAGUAAAAGGCAGUGGCUCAACCAUUGUGUGCUUUGGAAACUGUACAACUUGAGUGCAGAAGGGGAGAGUGGAAUUCCAUGUGUAGCGGUGAAAUGCGUAGAUAUAUGGAGGAACACCGGUGGCGAAAGCGGCUCUCUGGUCUGUAACUGACACUGAGGCUCGAAAGCGUGGGGAGCAAACAGGAUUAGAUACCCUGGUAGUCCACGCCGUAAACGAUGAGUGCUAGGUGUUGGGUCCUUUCCGGGACUCAGUGCCGCAGCUAACGCAUUAAGCACUCCGCCUGGGGAGUACGGCCGCAAGGCUGAA
RNAcentral lists this ribosomal RNA (375 nucleotides) under uncultured bacterium. RNAcentral describes it as "bacterial SSU rRNA". It matches the Rfam family "Bacterial small subunit ribosomal RNA", at positions 524 to 898 of the family's 1533-position model. The record is from RNAcentral.